UCUGCUUGUGUGCGUGAUUAGUUAAUACAACAGCACCUGACACAGCACCAUUCGUGCGAUGUUCAGUCGCGUCGCACGAGUCCGAGCGGCGGGUGCAUGUCGCUACUUGUUUUGACUGUGCGGCGAGUAAAAACACUUUUUUGGAGGAUUUUUACGAAGUUUACCGUUUUAAAUCGAUGUGCACCAAGUUAAAAUGGUACGAAAUUAUAAAAGAAAGACAGAUCGGGCAACAUGGGAAGAAGAUGAUAUGAGAAGAGCCGUUAGAGCGGUGCUUUCUGAGACGAUGGGAUUUCUUCGAGCCUCGGCUACAUAUAACCUUGCAUAUAUUGUGGGUACUUAUAUUCACAGUCCACUGAAGGAUGGGUUAUUUGUAGCGUGUGCUUUGGCUGGGCCCAUAAUUCCUGCGCAGGCGUAGACGAUGACGAUGAAGAGGCACAUAUAUGUGAACGUUGCCAACCAGAUUAAAAGUGUACUCAUUAUGCCCCAUGGCGUUUCCCAUUUUGCCCCGUUCACGGGGCAAGACGGGAAUUUUGACAUGUGCCAUUUAUUUCUCAAUUGCCAAAAAAGUAUGUGAUUUAGCGCCAAAAAAGAUUUUAAUUAUGUUAAUUAUAAAUGUAAGUGUUGUUAUACUUGAAAGAGAUUUUUAAUAAACAGUAUUAUUCUCAU
Molecule: long non-coding RNA, 666 nt
Organism: Aricia agestis (brown argus)
Lineage: Eukaryota; Metazoa; Arthropoda; Insecta; Lepidoptera; Lycaenidae
Exons: 2
Source: RefSeq, a predicted model, not a curated record